GAAUUCACUUUGUAGCCCAGGCUGACCUUGAAUUCACUUUGUAGCCCAGGCUGGCCUUGAACUUCAAGCAAUCCUCCUGCCUCAGCCUCCUGAGUGUUGGGAUUACAAGCGUGCCCAACCAUACCUG
This 127-nucleotide microRNA precursor is filed under the name Chinchilla lanigera (long-tailed chinchilla). RNAcentral describes it as "miRNA (ENSCLAG00000021283.1)". Lineage: Eukaryota; Metazoa; Chordata; Mammalia; Rodentia; Chinchillidae. The record is from RNAcentral.